UGGGGAAUAUUGGGCAAUGGAGGAAACUCUGACCCAGCAACGCCGCGUGAAGGAAGAAGGUUUUCGGAUCGUAAACUUCUAUCCUUGGUGAAAAUAAUGAUGGUAGCCAAGAAGGAAGCCCCGGCUAACUACGUGCCAGCAGCCGCGGUAAUACGUAGGGGGCAAGCGUUGUCCGGAAUGAUUGGGCGUAAAGGGCGCGUAGGCGGCCUGGUAAGUCUGGAGUGAAAGUCCUGCUUUUAAGGUGGGAAUUGCUUUGGAUACUGUCGGGCUUGAGUGCAGGAGAGGUAAGUGGAAUUCCCGGUGUAGCGGUGAAAUGCGUAGAGAUCGGGAGGAACACCAGUGGCGAAGGCGACUUACUGGACUGUAACUGACGCUGAGGCGCGAAAGUGUGGGGAGCAAACA
Molecule: ribosomal RNA, 402 nt
Filed under: uncultured prokaryote
Description: bacterial SSU rRNA
Rfam family: Bacterial small subunit ribosomal RNA
Source: RNAcentral